RNAcentral lists this small RNA (84 nucleotides) under Polaribacter sp. KT25b. Its description in RNAcentral is "Flavo-1 RNA". It matches the Rfam family "Flavo-1 RNA". The record is from Rfam by way of RNAcentral. Lineage: Bacteria; Pseudomonadati; Bacteroidota; Flavobacteriia; Flavobacteriales; Flavobacteriaceae.
UAUAAGCCAGUUGUGUUAGUGAUUGAAACGGCAUCCUUUUUAAGAGGAACGAAUAAAAAGAUAUAGUGUAAAGCACGACUUUAA